This 35-nucleotide small RNA is filed under the name Bombyx mori (domestic silkworm). Its description in RNAcentral is "ovarian small RNA-14796". Lineage: Eukaryota; Metazoa; Arthropoda; Insecta; Lepidoptera; Bombycidae. The record is from RNAcentral.
CUGAAAUCCAUCUCCGAUUCGGUAUCGGAGCCUGA